GUGCCUGUGCGUCAGCUUGCGCCGUGCCGCGCGCUGUGCCCAGCGCGGCGACGCCCUCGUAAUACUGCGCCAGUACGUCAUAUGCCGGUGCGCAGGAGGGGCAGUCCAGGAGCGCCUCAGUGCAAAUCGUGUACACUUCAGGAUGACAGGAGAGGGCACGUGGCUGGGAAGCCCAUGGCUCCAGCGUGACGAAGAGGCCCGUUAGGUAGCGCCAUGGAGCCUCAUUGCGCGGUGCACGCUGGAUAGCGUCCGCCACAUAUGAAAGCUCGCUGCCAGAUUUAAUUGGUAGAAAGGCGAGUGAGGAAUUGUGAGGGUCACACAAGUACCUUGAGCACUACGAAGGAAAAUGGGAAGUUCAAUCCAACAGGAAGGCAGCGUGAGGGCCCUAGCGAGUCCCACCUGCGCAACCACAUGGUGCUAUCGUCCUCCGAGCGCGGCAUGUGCUUCAGCACGAACAUGCGCUGGUUCCAGGCAGUGUUAUUCCGCACGUCACGCUGAAUUAGCUCCGAUGCAAACUCCAGUUCCGCUUGCCACCGCCCCGUCAUCUAUCCAGCAGGGGUGCACAGCCACCAACCCCAGACAUGUCAACACAAAAGCGGCAAACGCGUCGGGAUGGAGCUACAGAGUAUGCAGUAACCUAUUUCAUUUUCUAUACAUGUCCUACUCGGCACGUAUGCCUUGGUGGGACCCUCAAUUGGACCCUACAAUUGUUGAUGCGGCAAAA
RNAcentral lists this long non-coding RNA (724 nucleotides) under Volvox carteri. Its description in RNAcentral is "long non-coding RNA (VCAR_LNC002848)". The record is from RNAcentral. Lineage: Eukaryota; Viridiplantae; Chlorophyta; Chlorophyceae; Chlamydomonadales; Volvocaceae.